This is a long non-coding RNA of Lagenorhynchus albirostris (white-beaked dolphin), 656 nucleotides long. RefSeq lists it as uncharacterized. NCBI's taxonomy places the organism in Eukaryota, Metazoa, Chordata, Mammalia, Artiodactyla, Delphinidae. The transcript is spliced from 3 exons. The record is from RefSeq and is a predicted model, not a curated record.
AGCUCCUCAUAACAAGUCUAACUGGCUCUGGAAGGCUGAAAGGGCUGCACUAGAACAACAAAGAUGAGAUAUUCCACAUAACACUCAGCUGAUCUGGAAUCACCUUCUUUGCAGGGCCAGAGAAAAAUCACCACUUCACUGUCUGAGGGAAGCAGGACAGAGGACCUGGGAAAUGCGACCUCACCCUGGAGCAAGAUCUUUUAUGGUUUGGCAAUCCCAACAGUGCUGGCCUUAAAGAUCCCACCUACCGCUGGAACCUGGAGGGCAACUACAGCAGCAAAAACCCGAAGUGCUGCUGCCUAUGGUGACUAUGUGAGAAUUGAAACUUUUGAGGGAAGCCAGGUUGUUAAAACUGUGAUUCCCUUUACUCAACGGUAACACGGAUGAUCUAGUCUGAAAGGGAAAGCAAGCUCUUAAGACAAGUCCAAGGAUACUCUAAACUAAGGCAUUUAAGUCACUUCACAUGAUAAUUGUCCAGAAGUUUCCUAUAGGAAAACUUCAUCUUUGACAACUUUGAAGAUAACCAUCUCACCACUCAAGACAAUGGCCAACCACCAUCCAGCAAGUCCUUGAGUUAGAAGCUUUCUCAACUUCUGGAGAUUGUCUGUGUCAAUAUAAAACUCAGUUUCCUACUGACCCCCGGUGCCCUGACCCUU